AGCCUCACUCUCUCUCACACAGAACAUCGGACAAGCAACAAACAUAGUUGUGUUGUGGCAGAACACCAUCGACUGCGGCGGUAGCUGCUCCGCCGGGCGCUGCCCAGUUGCUAAUGGUAACUUCAGUAGCAGGGACAGGACUGUGGGGAGGCCAGAGACGCUACAGAGGAGGGAGAUGUGUCACCGGCGGAGAACCAAGAGAGGGACACAGAGACGCUACAGAGGAGGGAGAUGUGUCACCGGCGGAGAACCAAGAGAGGGAUACAGAGGAGGGAGAUGUGUCACCGGCGGAGAACCAAGAGAGGGACACAGAGACGCUACAGAGGAGGGAGAUGUGUCACCGGCGGAGAACCAAGAGAGGGACACAGAGACGCUACAGAGGAGGGAGAUGUGUCACCGGCGGAGAACCAACUAGACUCGGCGUUAGCAUGUAAACAUAAAGUUGUUCCUGUGAAACAAGUUAUUGGCAAUUAAAAAGUUAAUAGAAAAUAAUUGAACUUGUGUAACUUGGUGUGCUGCUGGAGCAAGUGCAUUCUGUGACCGGACACCAUGUUUUCCCAUGAUUCAGUAUGAUAGCCGUACUGACCUCCUUUGAAAAAGUAACUUCAUGUAAACAUUUUUCUUUUUAGUUUACGGUAUUUGUACAAAUUAACAUUUUAAGUAUUGAGAUGUUACACAAAAAAUAAAUUCAAACAGGCCUGUCUGGCUGUCUGUUUCAUACUUACUGUA
Molecule: long non-coding RNA, 729 nt
Organism: Micropterus salmoides (largemouth bass)
Lineage: Eukaryota; Metazoa; Chordata; Actinopteri; Centrarchiformes; Centrarchidae
Exons: 2
Source: RefSeq, a predicted model, not a curated record